This 264-nucleotide long non-coding RNA is filed under the name Phaseolus vulgaris (common bean). Its description in RNAcentral is "long non-coding RNA (PVUL_LNC003327)". The record is from RNAcentral. Lineage: Eukaryota; Viridiplantae; Streptophyta; Magnoliopsida; Fabales; Fabaceae.
AGAUCUCAAUUAUGAAAGAAUCCUGAGUCAAUAAAGCUGUGUUGAAAGCCUGGUCAUGGUCUGGAGGAAGUUACAACAUGUCAUAAAGGAAUAUAUUCCAAAAUCUUGAAAAUUUAAGAGCCUUUAUGACUAGUCAAAGAACACAUGUGAUGACCAUGUAAUUUUCUGCUUUUUCUAACAUUUUUUGUGCAGGUCUUGGUCAAGUCUUUUCUCUUUGAAGACUGAAACCCACUCACAUCAAUUGAAUGCAGUAUGGUUCAGUUU